This 501-nucleotide ribosomal RNA is filed under the name uncultured bacterium. Its description in RNAcentral is "bacterial SSU rRNA". It matches the Rfam family "Bacterial small subunit ribosomal RNA", at positions 30 to 529 of the family's 1533-position model. The record is from RNAcentral.
AUUGAACGCUGGCGGAAUGCUUUACACAUGCAAGUCGAACGGCAGCACGGGGCAACCUGGUGGCGAGUGGCGAACGGGUGAGUAAUAUAUCGGAACGUGCCCAAUCGUGGGGGAUAACGUAGCGAAAGUUACGCUAAUACCGCAUACGAUCUACGGAUGAAAGCAGGGGACCGCAAGGCCUUGCGCGGACGGAGCGGCCGAUGGCAGAUUAGGUAGUUGGUGGGAUAAAAGCUUACCAAGCCGACGAUCUGUAGCUGGUCUGAGAGGACGACCAGCCACACUGGGACUGAGACACGGCCCAGACUCCUACGGGAGGCAGCAGUGGGGAAUUUUGGACAAUGGGCGCAAGCCUGAUCCAGCCAUGCCGCGUGCAGGAUGAAGGCCUUCGGGUUGUAAACUGCUUUUGUACGGAACGAAAGACUCUUUCUAAUAAAGAGGGUCCAUGACGGUACCGUAAGAAUAAGCACCGGCUAACUACGUGCCAGCAGCCGGGUAAUAGUA